GGCCCGCAGCAGCGGAACUUACAGGAGAUCAGACAGAAGCGGAAGUGGUUUCGUGCCCUUCAAGUUAGAUUAUCUAGAUACUCAUCUUUCCCCUCCAUGAAAAAUGACUCAUUCUUAGUACAUUUAUGUGUAAAAUUGCUUUGGAUUUUAAGUGCAUGGAAGACCAGGAUCAUGUCACACUAAUGUGUAUUGCACAGCAUGUGACAUAGAACUGAGUUGAAACAGUGCUUAGCACAUAAUUUUUGGAGAUGACAGAGAUAUGACCAGGCAGAACUGUCCUCAGGACACUUUCUAAAGUCCAGCACAGCCUUGCCUUGGGGCCUUCAGCUUAGGCACGGAAUCUUCUUUGGCCUGGAAUAGCCGUCCCAAAGACUGUCCCAUGAUUGGUUCCUUCACACCAUCUGCUUUAGCUCAGCAGGGCUUUCUCAGGAGUACAUCGCAUCUAGCCAAGCCGACCUUCCCGCUCUGUCAUGUCGGGCCGUUUCCUUGCCUUCUUGCACACAGCACUAUCUGAAAUAAUCUCCUUCCAGUCAUUCAGCACAUUCAUUGAGUGCCUGCUCGUAUGCCCUGUCUUAUGCACUUGGGAUAGAUCAAGGUACAAAUGCAACACCUUCUCUACCCUGGUGGAAUUUACAGGCCUUGUGAAUUACAUUGUUUCCUUUUUCAUCAUCCGCCUCUGGCUAAAAUGUAAGCUCUAGGGGAGCAGGGACCUCUGUCAGCCUUGUUCUCUACUUUUUCCCAAGAGCCUAGAACUGUGUCUGGUACAUCCUUCAUGGUCAAUCAAUAUUUGUGGAAUGAAUAAACAAAUGUUUAUAUUAACCAGGCACAAUGGCUGAGGGGAGAGGAUAGCUUGAUACCAGGAGUUCGAUACCAGCCUGAGCAACAUAGCAAGACCCCCGUCUCUAAAAAAUAAAAAUGUUUUAUAUUUUCUA
Homo sapiens (human) is the source of this 932-nucleotide long non-coding RNA. Ensembl annotates it as TPTE2 antisense RNA 1. Its record names the gene TPTE2-AS1. The record is from Ensembl. Lineage: Eukaryota; Metazoa; Chordata; Mammalia; Primates; Hominidae.